Molecule: non-coding RNA, 26 nt
Filed under: Drosophila erecta
Lineage: Eukaryota; Metazoa; Arthropoda; Insecta; Diptera; Drosophilidae
Also listed under: 15 other names
Source: RNAcentral
CGUAGGUGAACCUGCGGAAGGAUCAU